This 497-nucleotide ribosomal RNA is filed under the name uncultured bacterium. RNAcentral describes it as "partial 16S ribosomal RNA". It matches the Rfam family "Bacterial small subunit ribosomal RNA", at positions 28 to 507 of the family's 1533-position model. The record is from RNAcentral.
GAUGAACGCUGGCGGCGUGCCUAAUACAUGCAAGUCGAGCGAACGGACGAGAAGCUUGCUUCUCUGAUGUUAGCGGCGGACGGGUGAGUAACACGUGGAUAACCUACCUAUAAGACUGGGAUAACUUCGGGAAACCGGAGCUAAUACCGGAUAAUAUUUUGAACCGCAUGGUUCAAAAGUGAAAGACGGUCUUGCUGUCACUUAUAGAUGGAUCCGCGCUGCAGUAGCUAGUUGGUAAGGUAACGGCUUACCAAGGCAACGUUGCAUAGCCGACCUGAGAGGGUGAUCGGCAACACUGGAACUGGGACACGGUCAAGACUCCUACGGGAGGCAGCAGAAGGGAAUCUUCCGCAAUGGGCGAAAGCCUGACGGAGCAACGCCGCGUGAGUGAUGAAGGUCUUCGGAUCGUAAAACUCUGUUAUUAGGGAAGAACAUAUGUGUAAGUAACUGUGCACAUCUUGACGGUACCUAAUCAGAAAGCCACGGCUAACUACGUG